AGAGUUUGAUCCUGGCUCAGGACGAACGCUGGCGGCGCGCCUAACACAUGCAAGUCGAACGAGAGAGAGGGAGCUUGCUUCCUUGAUCGAGUGGCGAACGGGUGAGUAACGCGUGAGGAACCUGCCUCAAAGAGGGGGACAACAGUUGGAAACGACUGCUAAUACCGCAUAAGCCCACGACCCGGCAUCGGGAAGAGGGAAAAGGAGCAAUCCGCUUUGAGAUGGCCUCGCGUCCGAUUAGCUAGUUGGUGAGGUAACGGCCCACCAAGGCGACGAUCGGUAGCCGGACUGAGAGGUUGAACGGCCACAUUGGGACUGAGACACGGCCCAGACUCCUACGGGAGGCAGCAGUGGGGAAUAUUGCACAAUGGGGGAAACCCUGAUGCAGCGACGCCGCGUGGAGGAAGAAGGUCUUCGGAUUGUAAACUCCUGUUGUUGAGGAAGAUAAUGACGGUACUCAACAAGGAAGUGACGGCUAACUACGUGCCAGCAGCCGCGGUAAAACGUAGGUCACAAGCGUUGUCCGGAAUUACUGGGUGUAAAGGGAGCGCAGGCGGGCGAUCAAGUUGGAAGUGAAAUCCAUGGGCUCAACCCAUGAACUGCUUUCAAAACUGGUCGUCUUGAGUAGUGCAGAGGUAGGCGGAAUUCCCGGUGUAGCGGUGGAAUGCGUAGAUAUCGGGAGGAACACCAGUGGCGAAGGCGGCCUACUGGGCACCAACUGACGCUGAGGCUCGAAAGUGUGGGUAGCAAACAGGAUUAGAUACCCUGGUAGUCCACACCGUAAACGAUGAUUACUAGGUGUUGGGAGAUUGACCCUCUCAGUGCCGCAGUUAACACAAUAAGUAAUCCACCUGGGGAGUACGACCGCAAGGUUGAAACUCAAAGGAAUUGACGGGGGCCCGCACAAGCGGAGGAACAUGUGGUUUAAUUCGAUGAUACGCGAGGAACCUUACCCGGGCUUGAAUUGCAGAGGAAGGAUUUGGAGACAAUGACGCCCUUCGGGGCCUCUGUGAAGGUGCUGCAUGGUUGUCGUCAGCUCGUGCCGUGAGGUGUCGGCUUAAGUGCCAUAACGAGCGCAACCCCUCUCCUUAGUUGCCAUCAGGUUAAGCUGGGCACUCUGGGGACACUGCCACCGUAAGGUGUGAGGAAGGUGGGGAUGACGUCAAAUCAGCACGGCCCUUACGUCCGGGGCUACACACGUGUUACAAUGGCAGGUACAGAGAGACGGUCCCUUGCAAAACGGAUCAAAUCCUUAAAGCCUGUCUCAGUUCGGACUGGGGUCUGCAACCCGACCCCACGAAGCUGGAUUCGCUAGUAAUCGCGCAUCAGCCAUGGCGCGGUGAAUACGUUCCCGGGCCUUGUACACACCGCCCGUCAAGCCAUGAAAGCCGGGGGCGCCUAAAGUCCGUGACCGUAAGGAGCGGCCUAGGGCGAAACUGGUAAUUGGGGCUAAGUCGUAACAAGGUA
Molecule: ribosomal RNA, 1467 nt
Filed under: metagenome
Description: bacterial SSU rRNA
Rfam family: Bacterial small subunit ribosomal RNA
Source: RNAcentral